CUGAAAUUGUCAUGUUGAAACUUUGAGCUGACUGCUCUGGAUAGAAAAAGGGAAAAGAAAUACUCAGUGGGUGGACUUUAAAAAAUCUUGUUCCCUUCAUUGCAAGUCAUGGCUUGUGAAGAGCACAAAAGAGGGAUUAUAAUUGCCGGCAAUAUGCCGACACUUGGUUUUUGACUACUUAAGAUUCUGUGAGAGAUGGAAUGUUCCGGCAGCUGUCGAAACGCCUGGAAUUCUAGCAUGAUGGGACACGUUUAUCUGUCUCACUACAGACCAAGCGACAGGCUUCUCCCUUCGCCGAUAUGUGACAGAAGAUUUUUUAAUGGCUUAUAGCUUCAGCAAACUAGGACCAUUAAUUGGUUUAUUUAUCAAAAUAUGAUAAUACAAAACAGUAUUUCUGCAAAUGACACAAUGAAGGAAAGAGUAAAGAAUCAUAGGAUUGUAACGACAGGCAGGAGACCACGGCACGCUACAGAAUGAUAAAGCACUGAAUGAACUUGUGCAUCCUAUCAUGCCUGUGUGAACUCUUUGGAAAAACUCCCUCAUUCCUCUGUUUAAGUACAUUUUGAAGAGUAUAACAGAUUUGCAGACUUAAUGUGAUGGUUUGCUGCCACCUGCUGGAGAUGUCCAUCCAUUGCCGCUGUGAGCCCAAGUUUUUGUCAGAUUCUGAUCCCUGUUGUAUUAUUGUUAACUUCCAUUUCCUGUAAACAUACUCAGAAUAAAUCCCAAUAAAUCUUCUUUCAAAUGUUA
Amblyraja radiata (thorny skate) is the source of this 747-nucleotide long non-coding RNA. RefSeq lists it as uncharacterized. Lineage: Eukaryota; Metazoa; Chordata; Chondrichthyes; Rajiformes; Rajidae. The record is from RefSeq and is a predicted model, not a curated record. The transcript has 2 exons.